UACGGAGGAUCCGAGCGUUAUCCGGAUUUAUUGGGUUUAAAGGGUGCGCAGGAGGGAGAUUAAGUCGGCGGUGAAAUUUUGCAGCUCAACUGUAAAAGUGCCUUCGAAACUGGUUUCCUUGAGUGUAGAUGAAGUAGGCGGAAUUUGUGGUGUAGCGGUGAAAUGCAUAGAUAUCACGAGGAACUCCGAUUGCGCAGGCAGCUUACUAAACUACUACUGACGCUCAGGCACGAAGGCGUGGGGAUCAAACAGGAUUAGAUACCCCAGUA
RNAcentral lists this ribosomal RNA (269 nucleotides) under uncultured prokaryote. RNAcentral describes it as "partial 16S ribosomal RNA". It matches the Rfam family "Bacterial small subunit ribosomal RNA", at positions 524 to 792 of the family's 1533-position model. The record is from RNAcentral.